This 57-nucleotide transfer RNA is filed under the name Apatania sp. YW-2014. RNAcentral's name for it is "tRNA-Ser". RNAcentral also lists the same sequence under 1 other name. Lineage: Eukaryota; Metazoa; Arthropoda; Insecta; Trichoptera; Apataniidae. The record is from RNAcentral.
GAAAUUUAUAUAAUUAAGCUGCUAACUUAAUUUUUAGUGGAACCCAUUAAAAUUUCU